UGUAUCUAUUAUUGCACGAUCUACUGUGCAAUAUAAAGCGCCUUGAGGCGACUGUUGUUGUGAUUUGGUGCUAUAUAAAUAAAAUUGAAUUGAAUUGAAUAACUGUUCACUGGCAUUUAAAAGUUCAGUUCUUAUUUAAAAAUGUACAUAUUUUUAUUUUAUAUUUUAUGCUUUACAAUUUUAGUUUUAAUGUUGUUUACUCCAAACAGUGAUGGCAACAGCAGUUUUGGCCAGAAGCAGAGGUGUUUUCAGCACCAUCAAAGUCCUGUUCCUCAUGUUCACCCUGCUGUGUCUCAUUUGCCUUUCAACUUCACUGACAAACAAGAACCAACUGGUAAACGAAGUGUUCAAUGAAUGUUAUGAGAAAGCACAAGAAGAAAUGGAUAACCUGAUGGAGGAAAAGUCAGACAUGCUGAAAGCUUCAGAGCUGGUAGAUGAGUAUCUGGCCAUGAUGGACCCAAUGAUAGCAGUGAUCAAGAAAACUAAUGCAUUUGUUGGUUAAAUAGUUCCUGACACAGAUUUGGAGUACCUUAAGGUUUUAUCAGGAGAAGUCAAAGAUGAACUAGACCUCAUAAAUGAAGAACUUGAUGAAGAAAUUACAUCCAAGGAAAAGCAACUGAGGAAAAUGAAGACAUUGAUCGAAUACAUUGAGGAGCAGCACACUGAAUUGUAAUUUUUAUGUCAACUGAUAAAAGUUACGAUUCAUAUAUGUGUUGCACACCUUUAGUUUUUACUAGAACUUCCUUUGAAACUAUGACAUUUUUUGCCUGUUUGACAACUUCUAUGGAACCUUGAUACAAUUUAAAUGUAACUAUCAUAACAUUUGAAAAAUAUGUCAGUGUAUGUCUCUUUAAACUAACACAAAAUAGAAACAUUUUCCUUCGGUUAUUGUUCUAUUAGUUAUGUCAACAAUAGACAAAACUACAUUUUGACUGCACCUCUCCUAAAUGGAAUCAUUUUGUGAAAUCCUAGUGGUAUAAAUACAUCGUUGUUUUUCCCUAUUGUAAUUUAUUGUAAUGAAUUUAAUUGAAGUCAUUGAAUUGAACUGAAUUAAUUUCAGCUGUGAAAAUGGUCUAUACAUGACCAUUCUUUCUUUGAAAGCCUGAAAUUU
RNAcentral lists this long non-coding RNA (1111 nucleotides) under Oreochromis niloticus (Nile tilapia). RNAcentral's name for it is "lncRNA (ENSONIG00000025789.2)". Lineage: Eukaryota; Metazoa; Chordata; Actinopteri; Cichliformes; Cichlidae. The record is from RNAcentral.